RNAcentral lists this ribosomal RNA (407 nucleotides) under uncultured bacterium. Its description in RNAcentral is "partial 16S ribosomal RNA". It matches the Rfam family "Bacterial small subunit ribosomal RNA", at positions 29 to 526 of the family's 1533-position model. The record is from RNAcentral.
AUUGAACGCUGGCGGCAGGCCUAACACAUGCAAGUCGAGCGGAGCGGCGGACGGGUGCGUAAUGCCUAUGAAUCUGACUGGUCGUGGGGGAUAACGUCCAGAAACGGGCGCUAAUAACGCAUACUAUCACAUGAGCAUAGGCCGGAUUAGCUAGAAGGUGGGGGAAGGGACAACCUAGGCGACGAUCCCUAGCUGGUCUGGGAGGAUGACCAGCCACACUGGAACUGAGACACGGUCCAGACUCCUACGGGAGGCAGCAGUGGGGAAUAUUGCACAAUGGGCGCAAGCCUGAGGCAGCCAUGCCGCGUGUGUGAAGAAGGCCUUCGGGUUGUAAAGUACUUUCAGCGGGGAGGCGUUACCCGCAGAAGAAGCACCGGCUAACUCCGUGCCAGCAGCCGCGGUAAUUC